This 292-nucleotide ribosomal RNA is filed under the name uncultured bacterium. Its description in RNAcentral is "partial 16S ribosomal RNA". It matches the Rfam family "Bacterial small subunit ribosomal RNA", at positions 505 to 796 of the family's 1533-position model. The record is from RNAcentral.
GUGCCAGCCGCCGCGGUAAUGCGGAGGGGGCUAGCGUUGUUCGGAAUUACUGGGCGUAAAGCGCACGUAGGCGGACUGGAAAGUUGGGGGUGAAAUCCCGGGGCUCGACCUCGGAACUGCCUUCAAAACUAUCAGUCUGGAGUUCGAGAGAGGUGAGUGGAAUUCCGAGUGUAGAGGUGAAAUUCGUAGAUAUUCGGAGGAACACCAGUGGCGAAGGCGGCUCACUGGCUCGAUACUGACGCUGAGGUGCGAAAGCGGGGGGAGCAAACAGGAUUAGAAACCCGAGUAGUCC